AGUAGUUUGAUCAGUGGCUCGAGGACGACGCUGGCGGCGUGCCUAAUACAUGCAAGUAGAACGCUGAAGACUUUAGCUUGCUAAAGUUGGAAGAGUUGCGAACGGGUGAGUAACGCGUAGGUAACCUGCCUACUAGCGGGGGAUAACUAUUGGAAACGAUAGCUAAUACCGCAUAACAGCAUUUAACCCAUGUUAGAUGCUUGAAAGGAGCAAUUGCUUCACUAGUAGAUGGACCUGCGUUGUAUUAGCUAGUUGGUGAGGUAACGGCUCACCAAGGCGACGAUACAUAGCCGACCUGAGAGGGUGAUCGGCCACACUGGGACUGAGACACGGCCCAGACUCC
RNAcentral lists this ribosomal RNA (343 nucleotides) under uncultured Streptococcaceae bacterium. Its description in RNAcentral is "bacterial SSU rRNA". It matches the Rfam family "Bacterial small subunit ribosomal RNA", at positions 1 to 339 of the family's 1533-position model. Lineage: Bacteria; Bacillati; Bacillota; Bacilli; Lactobacillales; Streptococcaceae. The record is from RNAcentral.